RNAcentral lists this ribosomal RNA (253 nucleotides) under uncultured bacterium. Its description in RNAcentral is "partial 16S ribosomal RNA". It matches the Rfam family "Bacterial small subunit ribosomal RNA", at positions 524 to 776 of the family's 1533-position model. The record is from RNAcentral.
GACAGAGGUGCCAAGCGUUAGGCGGAAUCACUGGGCUUAAAGCGUGUGUAGGCGGAUCGUUAAGUGUCUUGUGAAAUCCCACGGCUCACCCGUGGAACUGCUGGGCAUACUGGCGAUCUUGGGCCAACUAGGGGCAGCCGGAACAAGCGGUGGAGCGGUGAAAUGCGUAGAUAUCGCUUGGAACGCCAAAGGUGAAAACAGGCUGCUGGGGUUGUGCCGACGCUGAGACACGAAAGCCAGGGGAGCAAACGGG